AUUCCUUAUAUGUAAUUAAUCUUAGAAAAAUAAAUAAAAAUAUAUGGAAUUGCCACGUGAUAAUAUGCGCGCAUGCCCCAUAGCAUGUUUAUUGCAUGCUCACCACGUAACUCCAAAGUGAUCAAGAUAUUAUCAUCAUCAUCAUGACACUAUGCGAGCAUGCCGUAUCGCAUGUUGACUCGUGAGUUGUCGACGAGUUUCGCAGAUGCAUCCGACGCACGAUCGGAUGGACCAAAUCAAGAUGGACGGACCCGUCACCCGAAGCCCACGGCAGGGUCUUGAACCCGACUAAAACCCUUCCGCCCUCCUCCGAGACGGCGGCGUCGUCCCGUCCCAUGGCGAGCUUUGUCCGAACCCGCCUCUGCGACCGCCGCGCGUCCGCGGUCUCUCGCUCCUACGCCGUUGCGGCCGACGCCAGACCUUCUUCCGCCUCGCCCAACUCGGCGAACGAGAGACCUGCCGCGCUGAAGCCGGCGACGGUGGAUGAAGAGGAGGUCCCCACGUCGGGCAUCUGCCGCCCCCUUUCGGAGAUCCUCAGGGAGCUUAACAAGAAGGUCCCGGAUUUGCUCAUCAGGACCCGCGUAGAAAACGGCGUGGCCACCAGACACAUCCCUUGAAUGGUCUGGUGAGAUUCGAAGCAUUGUGUAUUCAACGGAUGGGAGUUCAGUCUCAGUCUCUGAGGUACAUUUUCAUCAGACCUUGCAAAUUUAGUAUGAAUGUUGUUGAAGCGAGAUGACAUACAUAUUCACAUUUAGGCCUGCAUACCGAGAUAAAAGGGUUUAUGCAUAUAACCGCUACAUAUUCACACCAUGGUCCACCUUAAACAUGUCGCAGUUUGGUACUACUUCAUGAAGUUUUCCUGAGGAUUUUAACUGUAAGAUAAAUUACACACAUCAUAUAGCCUUGUGUAUCAGGACAAAUGGGUGCAUGCAACUCCGAUGAAUUUUCCACAGAAAACCUGCUAGGCUUGCAUGAGAUAGCUUCUCUGUUGAUACAAUGACUUCAUAUCAAGAUCACUUAAAUAUGUAUAGAUGAUUGAUAUAUAUCUCCAACUGUAUGAUGCUUUGUAAUUUUCUUCUUAUUUGGAUUCAUCAGUUAAUUCACCUUAGUGAGAAACACCUCAUCUGGUAUUAAUUUACAUUCCCAUGAAUUCUAGGAUCCUCCCCUUCUGUGUAAUCAGAUGACUUGUUUAUCUAUUAUGCUGAUGAAAGCUUCAUUCUCACAAAAUAACCAUUAAGACAAAAGGAGAUACUUUUGUUCACAUCAUCUUCUGCUACUACUUCACCAGGAACUGUAAUGGGCACUGGUUGAGGUCCCAACUCUUUUUUGUAGAUUUUUUGCAUCUCAUCAGCAACAACUUGAGCCAAUGAAUCCUAUAUUAACGACAGCAUAGUAAAGUACACACACUAAGAUUCUAAAUAAUAGAAUCAAGCAGACCACUUAUUCUAAAUGUACAAGUAGAAGCCAGAAUAGUACUUGAUGAGCCUCCAAAGGAGGAUUGAAUGAACACCCAGGUGGCUCAACUUCAACAGCAGGAAUGAGACAGGCCUUGUGCUUGUGGAAGAUCAGAAAUUCGGGAAGAAGAAAGGAAAAAAUCAUGCCUCAAGUACAGAGGGAGACUCUUAUACAGCAUACAAGAAAUAGAAGACUACUCAAAGACCAAAAUUGUUUAUUUCAACAAUCUCUCUCUGCAAUAGCAUGUACAACAUAAACACUACGAAAGGCAUGAAGAAGUUAUUAGUAACUUGACAGAAGAAGAAUGCAUUGAUGAUAUUUUAUUUAAUGAAGUAUUGAUUUGUUCUCCUAUCA
Molecule: RNA transcript, 1809 nt
Organism: Musa acuminata AAA Group (dessert banana)
Lineage: Eukaryota; Viridiplantae; Streptophyta; Magnoliopsida; Zingiberales; Musaceae
Gene name: DNA repair RAD52-like protein 1, mitochondrial
Exons: 2
Source: RefSeq, a predicted model, not a curated record